RNAcentral lists this ribosomal RNA (253 nucleotides) under uncultured bacterium. Its description in RNAcentral is "partial 16S ribosomal RNA". It matches the Rfam family "Bacterial small subunit ribosomal RNA", at positions 524 to 776 of the family's 1533-position model. The record is from RNAcentral.
UACGUAGGUGGCAAGCGUUAUCCGGAAUUAUUGGGCGUAAAGAGCGCGCAGGUGGUUAACUAAGUCUGAUGUGAAAGCCCACGGCUUAACCGUGGAGGGUCAUUGGAAACUGGUUGACUUGAGUGCAGAAGAGGGAAGUGGAAUUCCAUGUGUAGCGGUGAAAUGCGUAGAGAUAUGGAGGAACACCAGUGGCGAAGGCGGCUUCCUGGUCUGCAACUGACACUGAGGCGCGAAAGCGUGGGGAGCAAACAGG